RNAcentral lists this small RNA (571 nucleotides) under Pan troglodytes (chimpanzee). RNAcentral describes it as "retained intron". The record is from RNAcentral. Lineage: Eukaryota; Metazoa; Chordata; Mammalia; Primates; Hominidae.
CUCAAGGGCAUCCCAGUACUGGUGGGAUUGUUAGACCAUCCCAAAAAGGAAGUGCACCUUGGAGCCUGUGGAGCUCUCAAGAAUAUCUCUUUUGGACGUGACCAGGAUAACAAGAUUGCCAUAAAAAACUGUGAUGGUGUGCCUGCCCUUGUGCGAUUGCUUCGAAAGGCUCGUGAUAUGGACCUUACUGAAGUUAUUACCGGAACCCUGUGGAAUCUUUCAUCCCAUGACUCAAUCAAAAUGGAGAUUGUGGACCAUGCACUGCAUGCCUUGACAGAUGAAGUGAUCAUUCCUCAUUCUGGUUGGGAGCGGGAACCUAAUGAAGACUGUAAGCCACGCCAUAUUGAGUGGGAAUCGGUGCUCACCAACACAGCUGGCUGCCUUAGGUAACAGUAGGGACUUUGAGAAUAUGAAGAUGAAUUUUUGAGGACUGACUUAAAUUUCCUAAAAAAAAAAAAAAUUAAAAUUCUUUAGCCUAUUCUUUAGCCUCCAUUCCUAUCUGUAUUGCAUACUGUAACUCCAACCUGUCUUUCUUUGUUGCUAUUCUCUCAUGUAUACCACAUGUACCUAU